CUGGCUCAGGACGAACGCUGGCGGCGUGCUUAACACAUGCAAGUCGAACGAUGAAGCCC
Molecule: ribosomal RNA, 59 nt
Filed under: Streptomyces sp. WMMB 322
Lineage: Bacteria; Bacillati; Actinomycetota; Actinomycetes; Kitasatosporales; Streptomycetaceae
Also listed under: 1 other name
Description: 16S rRNA. Bacterial SSU
Source: RNAcentral